Molecule: ribosomal RNA, 447 nt
Filed under: uncultured bacterium
Lineage: Bacteria
Description: bacterial SSU rRNA
Rfam family: Bacterial small subunit ribosomal RNA
Source: RNAcentral
UGGGGAAUUUUGGACAAUGGGGGCAACCCUGAUCCAGCCAUGCCGCGUGCGGGAAGAAGGCCUUAGGGUUGUAAAACACUUUCAGCGGGGAAGAUGAUGACGGUACCCGCAGAAGAAGCCCCGGCUAACUCCGUGCCAGCAGCCGCGGUAAUACGGAGGGGGCUAGCGUUGUUCGGAAUUACUGGGCGUAAAGGGCGUGUAGGCGGCCUGCCAAGUCAGAUGUGAAAGCCCCGGGCUUAACCUGGGAACUGCAUUUGAGACUGGCCGGCUAGAGGUUGGAAGAGGAGAGUGGAAUUCCCAGUGUAGAGGUGAAAUUCGUAGAUAUUGGGAAGAACACCAGUGGCGAAGGCGGCUCUCUGGAACGUUUCUGACGCUGAGGCUCGAAAGCGUGGGGAGCAAACAGGAUUAGAUACCCGGGUAGUCCCUGAGCGGGCUGGCAAGGCGCAU